CCUACGGGUGGCUGCAGUGGGGAAUAUUGGACAAUGGGGGGAACCCUGAUCCAGCCAUGCCGCGUGUGUGAAGAAGGCCCUCGGGUUGUAAAGCACUUUCAGUGAGGAAGAACGCCUGGUGGUUAAUACCCAUCAGGAAAGACAUCACUCACAGAAGAAGCACCGGCUAACUCCGUGCCAGCAGCCGCGGUAAUACGGAGGGUGCGAGCGUUAAUCGGAAUUACUGGGCGUAAAGCGCGCGUAGGUGGCUUGAUAAGCCGGUUGUGAAAGCCCCGGGCUCGACCUGGGAACGGCAUCCGGAACUGUGAAGCUAGAGUGCAGGAGAGGAAGGUAGAAUUCCCGGUGUAGCGGUGAAAUGCGUAGAGAUCGGGAGGAAUACCAGUGGCGAAGGCGGCCUUCUGGACUGACACUGACACUGAGGUGCGAAAGCGUGGGUAGCAAACAGGAUUAGAUACCCGAGUAGUC
Molecule: ribosomal RNA, 465 nt
Filed under: Vreelandella stevensii
Lineage: Bacteria; Pseudomonadati; Pseudomonadota; Gammaproteobacteria; Oceanospirillales; Halomonadaceae
Description: partial 16S ribosomal RNA
Rfam family: Bacterial small subunit ribosomal RNA
Source: RNAcentral